UGGGAGGUGAUGAUUAUUUCCCCAAAUGAUCGAAGCUGAAUACACCGAGCGA
This is a non-coding RNA of Ricinus communis (castor bean), 52 nucleotides long. The record is from Rfam. NCBI's taxonomy places the organism in Eukaryota, Viridiplantae, Streptophyta, Magnoliopsida, Malpighiales, Euphorbiaceae.